AGCGUCCUGGUGCUUACCACAGGCUGUGUUCUUACAUGGACCGUACAGAAAGAGAAAGCAGAGUAAAUCUACCAAAUACACCUCAGCCCAGGCCCUUUGCCUGGUCUGUACUGUGAAUGGGGGUACAUGG
Molecule: small nucleolar RNA, 130 nt
Organism: Zalophus californianus (California sea lion)
Lineage: Eukaryota; Metazoa; Chordata; Mammalia; Carnivora; Otariidae
Source: Ensembl